UUAGAGUUUGAUCCUGGCUCAGGACGAACGCUGGCGGCGUGCCUAAUACAUGCAAGUCGAACGCGUCCCGGUUGAUGAAGUUGAGUGCUUGCACUUGAUUGAUUCAACUUGGUGACGAGUGGCGAACUGGUGAGUAACACGUGGGUAACCUGCCCCGAAGCGGGGGAUAACAUUUGGAAACAGGUGCUAAUACCGCAUAACAACCAAAACCACCUGGUUUUGGUUUGAAAGACGGCUUCGGCUGUCACUUUGGGAUGGACCCGCGGCGUAUUAGCUAGUUGGUGAGGUAACGGCUCACCAAGGCGAUGAUACGUAGCCGACCUGAGAGGGUAAUCGGCCACAUUGGGACUGAGACACGGCCCAAACUCCUACGGGAGGCAGCAGUAGGGAAUCUUCCACAAUGGACGCAAAUCUGAUGGAGCAACGCCGCGUGAGUGAUGAAGGGUUUCGGCUCGUAAAACUCUGUUGUUGGAGAAGAACGGGUGUUAGAGUAACUGUUGACAUCGUGACGGUAUCCAACCAGAAAGCCACGGCUAACUACGUGCCAGCAGCCGCGGUAAUACGUAGGUGGCAAGCGUUGUCCGGAUUUAUUGGGCGUAAAGCGAGCGCAGGCGGUUUUUUAGGUCUGAUGUGAAAGCCUUCGGCUUAACCGGAGAAGUGCAUCGGAAACCGGGAAACUUGAGUGCAGAAGAGGACAGUGGAACUCCAUGUGUAGCGGUGAAAUGCGUAGAUAUAUGGAAGAACACCAGUGGCGAAGGCGGCUGUCUGGUCUGCAACUGACGCUGAGGCUCGAAAGCAUGGGUAGCGAACAGGAUUAGAUACCCUGGUAGUCCAUGCCGUAAACGAUGAGUGCUAAGUGUUGGAGGGUUUCCGCCCUUCAGUGCUGCAGCUAACGCAUUAAGCACUCCGCCUGGGGAGUACGACCGCAAGGUUGAAACUCAAAGGAAUUGACGGGGGCCCGCACAAGCGGUGGAGCAUGUGGUUUAAUUCGAUGCUACGCGAAGAACCUUACCAGGUCUUGACAUCUUCUGCCA
Molecule: ribosomal RNA, 1034 nt
Filed under: uncultured bacterium
Lineage: Bacteria
Description: bacterial SSU rRNA
Rfam family: Bacterial small subunit ribosomal RNA
Source: RNAcentral